Molecule: ribosomal RNA, 402 nt
Filed under: uncultured bacterium
Lineage: Bacteria
Description: bacterial SSU rRNA
Rfam family: Bacterial small subunit ribosomal RNA
Source: RNAcentral
UGGGGAAUAUUGGACAAUGGGCGCAAGCCUGAUCCAGCCAUGCCGCGUGAGUGAUGAAGGCCUUAGGGUUGUAAAGCUCUUUCGCGCGCGACGAUAAUGACGGUAGCGCGAGAAGAAGCCCCGGCUAACUUCGUGCCAGCAGCCGCGGUAAUACGAAGGGGGCUAGCGUUGUUCGGAAUCACUGGGCGUAAAGCGCAUGCAGGCGGAUCGUUAAGUCGGGGGUGAAAUCCCGAGGCUCAACCUCGGAUCUGCCUUCGAUACUGGCGAUCUUGAGUCCGGGAGAGGUGAGUGGAACUGCGAGUGUAGAGGUGAAAUUCGUAGAUAUUCGCAAGAACACCAGUGGCGAAGGCGGCUCACUGGCCCGGUACUGACGCUCAGGUGCGAAAGCGUGGGGAGCAAACA